UUACAAAAAUGAAUGUAGUAUGUACUCAAUCGACCGGAUAACAUAGGACAUGUCUUAAAAAGGACAUAACUUAAUAUCUUGCUGAGGACGGUUAGCCAUCAUUUUCGGAUUAGGACAGAAUUAAGGAAAGAUGUGAUUAGAUUAUUGGACCAGUAUAAGGUUGUGAUUAAGAUUCCAUUAAUCGUAAGUUUAUGGUAAAAAUUAUAAAUAGAGGUCAAAGAUACGAGGUAUUUAAUGUUAGAAGUGGGUUUUAGGCCUAAUUCAACCCCACAAAACCCAUGGCAUAUUGUUCCACCUGCUAUUGGGCCGUUAUCGGACC
Molecule: long non-coding RNA, 319 nt
Filed under: Vigna radiata
Lineage: Eukaryota; Viridiplantae; Streptophyta; Magnoliopsida; Fabales; Fabaceae
Description: long non-coding RNA (VRAD_LNC009096)
Source: RNAcentral